RNAcentral lists this ribosomal RNA (254 nucleotides) under uncultured bacterium. RNAcentral describes it as "partial 16S ribosomal RNA". It matches the Rfam family "Bacterial small subunit ribosomal RNA", at positions 524 to 776 of the family's 1533-position model. The record is from RNAcentral.
UACGAAGGGGGCUAGCGUUGCUCGGAAUCACUGGGCGUAAAGGGUGCGUAGGCGGGUCUUUAAGUCAGGGGUGAAAUCCUGGAGCUCAACUCCAGAACUGCCUUUGAUACUGAGGAUCUUGAGUUCGGGAGAGGUGAGUGGAACUGCGAGUGUAGAGGUGAAAUUCGUAGAUAUUCGCAAAGAACACCAGUGGCGAAGGCGGCUCACUGGCCCGAUACUGACGCUGAUGCACGAAAGCGUGGGGAGCAAACAGG